GUAAUACUUACUGGAGGUCCGAACCCACGCACGUUGAAAAGUGCGGGGAUGAGGUGUGGGUAGCGGAGAAAUUCCAAUCGAACUUGGAGAUAGCUGGUUCUCUCCGAAAUAGCUUUAGGGCUAGCCUCGAGGUAAAGAGUCAUGGAGGUAGAGCACUGUUUGGACUAGGGGCCCUUCUCGGGUUACCGAAUUCAGAUAAACUCCGAAUGCCAUGUACUUAUACUCGGGAGUCAGACUGCGAGUGAUAAGAUCCGUAGUCGAAAGGGAAACAGCCCAGACCACCAGUUAAGGUCCCCAAAUAUAUGUUAAGUGGAAAAGGAUGUGGGGUUGCUUAGACAACCAGGAUGUUGGCUUAGAAGCAGCCACCAUUGAAAGAGUGCGUAAUAGCUCACUGGUCGAGUGACCCCGCGCCGAAAAUGUACCGGGGCUAAACAUAUUACCGAAACUGUGGAUGAACCUCUUUAGAGGUUCGUGGUAGGAGAGCGUUCUAAGGGCGGUGAAGUCAGACCGGAAGGACUGGUGGAGCGCUUAGAAGUGAGAAUGCCGGUAUGAGUAGCGAAAGAAGGGUGAGAAUCCCUUCCACCGAAUAUCUAAGGUUUCCUGAGGAAGGCUCGUCCGCUCAGGGUUAGUCGGGACCUAAGCCGAGGCCGAUAGGCGUAGGCGAUGGACAACAGGUAGAGAUUCCUGUACCAGUGCUAAUUGUUUAACCGAUGGGGUGACACAGAAGGAUAGGGAAUCGCACGAAUGGAAAUGUGCGUCCAAGCAGUGAGUGUGAGAAGUAGGCAAAUCCGCUUCUCGCGAAGCAUGAGCUGUGAUGGGGAAGGAAAUUAAGUACGGAAGUUCCUGAUUUCACGCUGUCAAGAAAAGCCUCUAGGAAGAGUAGUACUGCCCGUACCGCAAACCGACACAGGUAGAUGAGGAGAGAAUCCUAAGGUGAGCGAGAGAACUCUCGUUAAGGAACUCGGCAAAAUGACCCCGUAACUUCGGGAGAAGGGGUGCUCUAUUAGGGUGCAAGCCCGAGAGAGCCGCAGUGAAUAGGCCCAGGCGACUGUUUAGCAAAAACACAGGUCUCUGCAAAACCGUAAGGUGACGUAUAGGGGCUGACGCCUGCCCGGUGCUGGAAGGUUAAGAGGAGUGCUUAGCUUCGGCGAAGGUACGAAUUGAAGCCCCAGUAAACGGCGGCCGUAACUAUAACGGUCCUAAGGUAGCGAAAUUCCUUGUCGGGUAAGUUCCGACCCGCACGAAAGGCGCAACGAUCUGGGCACUGUCUCAACGAGAGACUCGGUGAAAUUAUAGUACCUGUGAAGAUGCAGGUUACCCGCGACAGGACGGAAAGACCCCGUGGAGCUUUACUGCAACCUGAUAUGGAAUGUUUGUACCGCUUGUACAGGAUAGGUAGGAGCCGAAGAGACGUGUGCGCUAGCAUACGAGGAGGCAAUGGUGGGAUACUACCCUGGCUGUAUGACCAUUCUAACCCGCCACGCUUAGCGCGUGGGGAGACAGUGUCAGGUGGGCAGUUUGACUGGGGCGGUCGCCUCCUAAAGAGUAACGGAGGCGCCCAAAGGUUCCCUCAGAAUGGAUGGAAAUCAUUCGCAGAGUGUAAAGGCACAAGGGAGCUUGACUGCGAGACUGACAAGUCGAGCAGGGACGAAAGUCGGGCUUAGUGAUCCGGUGGUUCCGCAUGGAAGGGCCAUCGCUCAACGGAUAAAAGCUACCCCGGGGAUAACAGGCUUAUCUCCCCCAAGAGUCCACAUCGACGGGGAGGUUUGGCACCUCGAUGUCGGCUCGUCGCAUCCUGGGGCUGUAGUCGGUCCCAAGGGUUGGGCUGUUCGCCCAUUAAAGCGGCACGCGAGCUGGGUUCAGAACGUCGUGAGACAGUUCGGUCCCUAUCCGUCGCGGGCGCAGGAAAUUUGAGAGGAGCUGUCCUUAGUACGAGAGGACCGGGAUGGACACACCGCUGGUGUACCAGUUGUUCCGCCAGGAGCAUCGCUGGGUAGCUAUGUGUGGCAGGGAUAAACGCUGAAAGCAUCUAAGCGUGAAGCCCCCCUCAAGAUGAGAUUUCCCAUUUCUUCGGAAAGUAAGAUCCCUGAAAGAUGAUCAGGUAGAUAGGUU
This 2112-nucleotide ribosomal RNA is filed under the name Listeria monocytogenes. RNAcentral describes it as "partial 23S ribosomal RNA". It matches the Rfam family "Bacterial large subunit ribosomal RNA", at positions 756 to 2862 of the family's 2925-position model. Lineage: Bacteria; Bacillati; Bacillota; Bacilli; Caryophanales; Listeriaceae. The record is from RNAcentral.